CUACGGGCGGCUGCAGUGGGGAAUAUUGCACAAUGGGCGCAAGCCUGAUGCAGCCAUGCCGCGUGUGUGAAGAAGGCCUUCGGGUUGUAAAGCACUUUCAGCGGGGAGGAAGGCGUUAAGGUUAAUAACCUUGGCGAUUGACGUUACCCGCAGAAGAAGCACCGGCUAACUCCGUGCCAGCAGCCGCGGUAAUACGGAGGGUGCAAGCGUUAAUCGGAAUUACUGGGCGUAAAGCGCACGCAGGCGGUCUGUCAAGUCGGAUGUGAAAUCCCCGGGCUCAACCUGGGAACUGCAUUCGAAACUGGCAGGCUAGAGUCUUGUAGAGGGGGGUAGAAUUCCAGGUGUAGCGGUGAAAUGCGUAGAGAUCUGGAGGAAUACCGGUGGCGAAGGCGGCCCCCUGGACAAAGACUGACGCUCAGGUGCGAAAGCGUGGGAGCAAACAGGAUUAGAUACCCGUGUAGUC
Molecule: ribosomal RNA, 463 nt
Filed under: uncultured Klebsiella sp.
Lineage: Bacteria; Pseudomonadati; Pseudomonadota; Gammaproteobacteria; Enterobacterales; Enterobacteriaceae
Description: bacterial SSU rRNA
Rfam family: Bacterial small subunit ribosomal RNA
Source: RNAcentral